This 708-nucleotide long non-coding RNA is filed under the name Prunus persica (peach). RNAcentral's name for it is "long non-coding RNA (PPER_LNC007190)". Lineage: Eukaryota; Viridiplantae; Streptophyta; Magnoliopsida; Rosales; Rosaceae. The record is from RNAcentral.
AUCUACUUAGGGGAAUUAGGAAUACAAGGUUAGGACCAGAUACCAUGGUUAAAUCAUACUUUAGCUAGAAUCAAUUUGAAAAUCUGAAUUAAACUUGGUAACUUAUUUGCUUGCGUUAGUUAUUUUCUUUCUUUCUUUAUUUCAAUCCUUGUACUUUUCACAAUCAUCAUUAAUCUAAUUGAAUCAAUCUAUCAUCAAUCCUCGUGGGAUCGACCUCGCACUUACAUAUGCUAUACUACCGAACGACUCGUGCACUUGUGAGUAUCACAAGUUAAGGAGGCAGCUUAAUCUAUUUUUGUGCAGCUGAUUCGACAACAACAAAACCGCCAAAGCUUAAAGAGCUCACUACGGCUGCAGAAAGGCUGGGCUCUUCGGGACUAGGCUCAUGAAUGGUUCCCCGGUCCUAUCCGAACAUUUCCUGACUAGUCUUGUGGUUGGUCGUUGCCGGAGCACCGAGAUCACCAACCAAGACUAGCUGGCCUAAUUUUCCGAAGGGAGAGAGAUGCGAGGAAGAUAGAACCACGAGGGGAGAGAGAGGGUGUGCAAAUGGAAGAAGAGAAGGAGUUGGGGUAUUUCAGGCUUUUUCGAACAAUUCCAGUCUUUCCCGAUACGUCCUUUUCGUUUUCAUACCCUUUCUCUUUCGUUAAGACCCGAAAUUGAGUGUGCCUACUGUCUACAGACUCAUAUCGACGAACUCUAAGUAACGGU